This 84-nucleotide microRNA precursor is filed under the name Pelobates cultripes (western spadefoot toad). The record is from RNAcentral. Lineage: Eukaryota; Metazoa; Chordata; Amphibia; Anura; Pelobatidae.
UGUGUGUGUGUAUAUAUGUGUGUGUGUGUGUGUAUAUAUAUAUAUAUAUAUACACACACACACACACACACACACACACACACA